UUUCCGUAGGUGAACCUGCGGAAGGAUCAUUACCGAGUGAGUGUCUCUCAGGCCCGACCUCCCACCCUGUGGUUUUGUGACCUUGUUGCUUUAGCGGUCCCGCCUCGAUGAGAGGCUGCAGGAAGCUCACCGCUUUGGGCCCGUGCCCGUCAGUAGCCCCCUUAAAUUCUUAAUAAACCUGUCGUCUGAGUUAAUUGCUAUAAUGAAAAAAAACUUUCAACAGCGGAUCUCUUGGUUCUG
RNAcentral lists this unclassified non-coding RNA (240 nucleotides) under plant metagenome. RNAcentral describes it as "partial contains small subunit ribosomal RNA, internal transcribed spacer 1, and 5.8S ribosomal RNA". The record is from RNAcentral.